RNAcentral lists this ribosomal RNA (221 nucleotides) under uncultured bacterium. RNAcentral describes it as "partial 16S ribosomal RNA". The stretch from base 1 to 194 matches the Rfam family "Bacterial small subunit ribosomal RNA", at positions 118 to 311 of the family's 1533-position model. The record is from RNAcentral.
UGAGCAAUCUGCCCUUCUCAUCGGAAUAAUCAUUGGAAACGAUGGCUAAUGCCGAAUAUGACCUCGGAUCACAUGUUCUGAGGUGGAAAGCUCCGGCGGAGAAGGAUGAGCUCGCGGCCUAUCAGCUUGUUGGUGAGGUAAUGGCUCACCAAGGCAUUGGACGGGUAGCCGGCUGAGAGGGUCGACCCGGCCACGACGUGGGACUGAGACGACCGGCACGA